UGAGGAACCUGCCUCGGAGUGGGGAAUAACAGACCGAAAGGCCUGCUAAUACCGCAUGAUGCAGUUGGACCGCAUGGUCCUGACUGCCAAAGAUUUAUCGCUCUGAGGUGGCCUCGCGUCUGAUUAGCUUGUUGGCGGGGUAAUGGCCCACCAAGGCGACGAUCAGUAGCCGGACUGAGAGGUUGGCCGGCCACAUUGGGACUGAGACACGGCCCAGACUCCUACGGGAGGCAGCAUG
This 238-nucleotide ribosomal RNA is filed under the name uncultured bacterium. RNAcentral's name for it is "partial 16S ribosomal RNA". It matches the Rfam family "Bacterial small subunit ribosomal RNA", at positions 118 to 353 of the family's 1533-position model. The record is from RNAcentral.